UGGGCAUGCAACUGCAUGUGGUCAUGGUUUUGCUUAUCUUCUGCAAACGUCAGAAAAAUGCUACUAAUUUCAAAAUGCCCUAGUCAUCUAGCCUUGCUCUUUCAUCACGCUGUGUUCUCCAUAAAUAAAAGAGUUUUUGUUGGUUGGUUGACUUUAAGGAAAGACAUUUUCUCAUUUAAGCAUACAAGUAUAAUAUGGUGACUUUUCAAAUUAAGGGUCAGGCACAGGCUUUGUUUAAACUUUGACAGCUUGCCCUCUGGGAUUACAUCAUCUGCUCUGUUGGUUGAGCCUUGCAGCCUGGCCCAAACACCUUUCCAAAUUUGGAAACAGAGGUGUAUGCCCAUUGGCCUUGUAGAGAAUAAUAUUACAAUAAUUUCAGCCAGGAUGCCCAAACCUCCUUGAAACCAUCCCAUGGAAGGAGUUCUAGGAGUUUGCACUGUCUGCAUUCCAUAAGCAAAUAACCUUCAAACUGCGCCCACGUGGCCAGGAUUAGUAUUCAUGUUACUCUCCAUGGGAGCCACUGAAGGUCAAGGACAAAGUGUAUGUGGACAUAAAAACAAGCUUCAUAUAUUGUGUGUCAUAGGGGACUGCCCUACCUGCCAAGGGUCUCACUGGAUCUCUGUACUCAUUUCCUGUUGCCAGCUGGUGGACAAUAUGGUGCUAAGAACUCAAGAAGUUGGUCCUCACGUUGAACCUCAGAGGUCACCAAACCUUUCUGGAUAGCUGCUAGGGAGUUUCUGGAGGUGCUCAAUAGUGACAUAUGUCAAGUUGAGAAGGGACAGCUGAUCUUCCAGGGUAGAGAUGGAUCCACUCCCCACUCUCAUAAAGAAGAUGUGGGUUUGUUUGACCUUCACUAUAUAGGAAAAAGCCUCACAAAUUCUUCAGCCCCUUGGAUGGAGGCUCAGCCUCCACACUGUAAAAUGCGGACAUAAUAACUUUUACAUAAUUUGAAAGGUUUCAUAAGAAUUGUCCCCCUAAUAUAUAUGAAGUGCCAUCCAAAUUAGAUUAACACAAGAGGAUUAUAUAAACACAGUGUAUUAUUUUUAUUAUUCUCAACUUAUCACAAUGGUCACCAUCCAACUUCUCAGUAGGAGUUAGGUUAAAGCUCACAGCUCACAGCACCCGUGGAGGCCAAAUCAUGCUGGGAUGGACCCUCUGUAUUUGCAGCCCAAACGUGUGUCUGUGAGCUGCAUGUGUUAAAACGUGUUUGCAUUUGGGAUGGGGACUGAGGAAGCAUCUGGGGACUGGACAGAAGAGUUUCCCCAGGAUGCAGUACUUUGAACAAACCAUGGAUUCCAGAAAAGACAUCUGUUUCCAUCAAGAACUAACAUGGAAUAAUAACAAAGAAGA
Molecule: long non-coding RNA, 1350 nt
Filed under: Homo sapiens (human)
Lineage: Eukaryota; Metazoa; Chordata; Mammalia; Primates; Hominidae
Description: HSALNT0370100
Source: RNAcentral